GACGAACGCUGGCGGCGUGCCUAAUACAUGCAAGUCGAGCGGAGUUUUUAAAAGCUUGCUUUUAAAAACUCAGCGGCGGACGGGUGAGUAACACGUGGGCAACCUGCCCUGUAGACUGGGAUAACUUCGGGAAACCGAAGCUAAUACCGGAUAAUCAUAGAAGUUGCAUAGCUUCUAUGUAAAAGUUGGGUUUACCUAACACUACAGGAUGGGCCCGCGUCGCAUUAGCUAGUUGGUAAGGUAACGGCUUACCAAGGCGACGAUGCGUAGCCGACCUGAGAGGGUGAUCGGCCACACUGGGACUGAGACACGGCCCAGACUCCUACGGAAGGCAGCAGUAGGGAAUCUUCCGCAAUGGACGAAAGUCUGACGGAGCAACGCCGCGUGGGCGAUGAAGGCCUUCGGGUCGUAAAGCUCUGUUGUUAGGGAAGAACAAGUGCUAUUCGAAUAGGGUGGCACCUUGA
RNAcentral lists this ribosomal RNA (464 nucleotides) under Bacilli bacterium oral taxon C43. RNAcentral describes it as "bacterial SSU rRNA". It matches the Rfam family "Bacterial small subunit ribosomal RNA", at positions 28 to 472 of the family's 1533-position model. Lineage: Bacteria; Bacillati; Bacillota; Bacilli. The record is from RNAcentral.